GAAGAAAUAUGCUUCAAAAGUCACAGAAUGACAAACCCUGACCUUGCUGUCAUAGAAGCGGUCUGAGACACUCAGAGGGGUAUUUAAUUAAAAGCCUUUCAUUCAUCAGGGCUACAGAUGUCAUGUCUCUCUCACUCUGUGGCUCCCUCCUUCAUUGCUUUCACCUGCUCAAACCUGCACACCAGCUCUCCAUCUCCUCAUCAACUCAGCAGUCUAUACACCCCGGCUCUCCAUCCACUCAUCGCCAGAUCGCUGUGUCAACUACUGCGGAUCACCAUUCACCCACCUGCCUUCCUGCUCAGCCAUCUGCCUCAACCUGCUCUCUGGACUCAAAACUGCUCAGCCACGCUCACGCCCCUCCUCUGGUCUGGUCAGCCUUCAUCCCCUUCACUCUUCUAACCUCCACAAUAAACCUCAUUACCAAUCAAC
This is a non-coding RNA of Labrus bergylta (ballan wrasse), 429 nucleotides long. The record is from RefSeq and is a predicted model, not a curated record. Lineage: Eukaryota; Metazoa; Chordata; Actinopteri; Labriformes; Labridae.